AUUGAACGCUGGCGGCAUGCCUUACACAUGCAAGUCGAACGGCAGCACGGGAGCUUGCUCCUGGUGGCGAGUGGCGAACGGGUGAGUAAUGCAUCGGAACGUGCCCUGAAGUGGGGGAUAACGUAGCGAAAGUUACGCUAAUACCGCAUAUUCUGUGAGCAGGAAAGCAGGGGAUCUUCGGACCUUGUGCUUUAGGAGCGGCCGAUGUCGGAUUAGCUAGUUGGUGAGGUAAAGGCUCACCAAGGCGACGAUCCGUAGCGGGUCUGAGAGGAUGAUCCGCCACGCUGGGACUGAGACACGGCCCAGACUCCUACGGGAGGCAGCAGUGGGGAAUUUUGGACAAUGGGCGCAAGCCUGAUCCAGCCAUGCCGCGUGAGUGAAGAAGGCCUC
RNAcentral lists this ribosomal RNA (390 nucleotides) under uncultured bacterium. RNAcentral's name for it is "bacterial SSU rRNA". It matches the Rfam family "Bacterial small subunit ribosomal RNA", at positions 30 to 418 of the family's 1533-position model. The record is from RNAcentral.